UUUCCGGUUGAUCCCGCCGGACCUGACUGCUAUCGGAUUGAUACUAAGCCAUGCGAGUCUUUGCAGUAAUGCAAGGCAUACGGCUCAGUAACACGUAGUCAACUUACCCUAUGGACGAGGAUAAUCUCGGGAAACUGAGCAUAAUACUCGAUAGAUCAUAAUGCCUGAAUGGUUUAUGGUUGAAAUGAUUCGUCGCCAUAGGAUGGGACUGCGGCCUAUCAGCUUGUUGGUGAGGUAAUGGCCCACCAAGGCGAUUACAGGUACGGGCUCUGAGAGGAGAAGCCCGGAGAUGGGUACUGAGACAAGGACCCAGGCCCUAUGGGGCGCAGCAGGCGAGAAAACUUUGCAAUGUGCGAAAGCACGACAAGGUUAAUCCGAGUGAUUUCUGCUAAAGAAAUCUUUUGCAAGUCAUAAAACCACUAGUGAAUAAGGGGUGGGCAAGUUCUGGUGUCAGCCGCCGCGGUAAAACCAGCACCUCAAGUGGUCAGGAGGAUUACUGGGCCUAAAGCAUCCGUAGCCGGCUCUGUAAGUUUUCGGUUAAGUCCAUGUGCUCAACGCAUGGGCUGCCGAAAAUACUGCAUAGCUAGGGAGUGGGAGAGGUAGACGGUACUCGGUAGGAAGGGGUAAAAUCCUUUGAUCUAUCGAUGACCACCUGUGGCGAAGGCGGUCUACCAGAACACGUUCGACGGUGA
This 692-nucleotide ribosomal RNA is filed under the name uncultured archaeon. Its description in RNAcentral is "bacterial SSU rRNA". It matches the Rfam family "Archaeal small subunit ribosomal RNA", at positions 1 to 700 of the family's 1478-position model. The record is from RNAcentral.